Molecule: long non-coding RNA, 6748 nt
Filed under: Malus domestica (apple)
Lineage: Eukaryota; Viridiplantae; Streptophyta; Magnoliopsida; Rosales; Rosaceae
Description: long non-coding RNA (MDOM_LNC018591)
Source: RNAcentral
GUUUCCAGAUUCGCGUCACUGCCCGUCGUUUAGAACGAGAGGGAGAGAGACAACUGACAGAGUAGUGGUGGUGAUGGUUGGAUUCGUGAUUGUGAAGAGGAAAGCUUGUGAAUGAGAGGGAGAGAGAUAUGUACGGGAAAAAGAGGAGAGAUGAGCAAGAGGGUUAUACAGGAAAGAGGGAAAGAAAGGUGAGGAAGAGGGUGGGAAAGAGGGAAAGAGAGGUGAGCAAGGGAACCAUACGGGAAAGAGGGAAAGAGAGGAUAGAUGAGCAAGAGGUUAUAUGGGAAAGAGGGAAAGGCCGAAAGAGUGCAAGAGGGAAGAGAGGUCUAUUAAUUAUACGGGAAAGAGUCGAAACUUAGGAAAAAUUGAAACAAAAGCGCCUUUUUUUUCACUGCAUUGGAGCGCGAAAUUUAUCAUAUCUUGCGCGACGUUGGUAUACAAUUUGAUGUCGCGCAAAGUGCUUUUGCGCGACGACCAUGUUAAGGCGUCGCGCAAAGUUUUUUUUUUUUUUUCAAUUAUUAUAAAAAUUACUGAAAAUAUGACUUUACUGCUGCUUUCAAAUUCAAUUUUUUUUUACAUAAACCCCAAAAUAAUAUAUUUUUUCUAAUAAAAACCAACAAAUUUUUAUUUUUACAUAUAUAUAUCAUUCAAUUUCUUAAGUGUUAUAAGUAUUAUAUAAAUAAAUUAAAAUCUAUUUAGUAAAUAUAUAUAUAUCAUUGAACUUGAUCAAAAACGCGUUGUACGAAAUCCACUAGUAAAUAUAUAUCUAAUUAGUUAAUAUAUAUAUGUAAUUAUAUUAUAUAAUUAUUAUAGUUUUUAGGGGUAUUAAAUUGUUAAAUUAAAGAUCAAAUUCAUUAUUUGUAUUCAUAUAGGAUCAAGGAGUGUACCUGUAAAAAAUCAUCAAAAUCGGAGUUAAAAUAACCGUUAAAUCGUGCUUUUUCAUUUUAUAACCGUCGAAAAGUUUUGUCCGGUUACUUGAUCUCUGAAUGUUUGUUUUUUUUGCAAUUUUUUGGCGUAUGUUAUCUCGAAGUAUAUACAAACAUGUUUAACGGUUGGAUUGUUGAAACUAGUUUCGUAGAAUGAGUGUAUCCAUCAAAACAAUAGAUUCACUAAUACUUAAAGUUUAUUCAUACUUUUAUUAAGUAUAACAUAAGAUUUUGUGGUAUCCACUAGUGUAAAUAUUUUAAAUUGAAGAUCGAAUUCAAUCAUUGUAUUCAUAUAGGGUCAAGGAGUGUAGGUAAAAAAAUCAUCAAAAUCGGAGUUAAAAUGACCGUUAAAUCGUGAUUUUUCUUUUUAUAACCGUCGAAAAGUUUUGUCCCGUUACUUGAAUCUCUGAAUGUUUGUUUUUUGCAAUUUUUGGCGUAUGCGAUCUCGAAGUAUAUACAAACAUGUUUGACGGUUGGAUCAUUGAAACUAGUUUCGUAGAAUGAGUAUCCAUCAAAACAAUAGAUUCACUAAUACUUAAGAGUUUAUUCAUACUUUUAUUAAGUAUAACAUAAGAUUUUUUUGGUAUCCACUAGUGUAAAUAUUUUAAAUUGAAGAUCGAAUUCAAUCAUUGUAUUCAUAUAGGGUCAAGGAGUGUAGUUGUAAAAAAUCAUCAAAAUCGGAGUUAAAAAUGACCGUUAAAUCGUGAUUUUUUCGUUUAUAACCGUCGAAAAGUUUUGUCCCGUUACUUGAUCUCUGAAUGUUUGUUUUUUGCAAUUUUUGGCGUAUGCGAUCUCGAAGUAUAUACAAACAUGUUUUGACGGUUGGAUCAUUGAAACUAGUUUCGUAGAAUGAGUAUCCCAUCAAAACAAUAGAUUCACUAAUACUUAAUAGUUUAUUCAUACUUUUAUUAAGUAUAACAUAAGAUUUUGUGGUAUCCACUAGUGUAAAUAUUUUAAAUUGAAGAUCGAAUUCAAUCAUUGUAUUCAUAUAGGGUCAAGGAGUGUAGCUGCAAAAAAUCAUCAAAAUCGGAGUUAAAAUGACCGUUAAAUCGUGAUUUUUCGUUUUUUAUAACCGUCGAAAAGUUUUGUCCCGUUACUUGAUCUCUGAAUGUUUGUUUUUUGUAAUUUUUGACGUAUGCGAUCUCGAAGUAUAUACAAACAUGUUUGACGGUUGGAUCAUUUGAAACUAGUUUCGUAGAAUGAGUAUCCCAUCAAAACAAUAGAUUCACUAAUACUUAAUAGUUUAUUCAUACUUUUAUUAAGUAUAACAUAAGAUUUUGUGGUAUCCACUAGUGUAAAUAUUUUAAAUUGAAGAUCGAAUUCAAUCAUUGUAUUCAUAUAGGGUCAAGGAGUGUAGCUUGUAAAAAAUCAUCAAAAUCGGAGUUAAAAUGACCGUUAAAUCGUGAUUUUUCUUUUUAUAACCGUCGAAAAGUUUUGUCCCGUUACUUGAUCUCUGAAUGUUUGUUUUUUUGCAAUUUUUGGCGUAUGCGAUCUCGAAGUAUAUACAAACAUGUUUGACGGUUGGAUCAUUGAAACUAGUUUCGUAGAAUGAGUAUCCCAUCAAAACAAUAGAUUCACUAAUACUUAAGAGUUUAUUCAUACUUUUAUUAAGUAUAACAUAAGAUUUUUUUUGGUAUCCACUAGUGUAAAUAUUUUAAAUUGAAGAUCGAAUUCAAUCAUUGUAUUCAUAUAGGGUCAAGGAGUGUAGCUUGUAAAAAAAUCAUCAAAAUCGGAGUUAAAAUAACCGUUAAAUCGUGAUUUUUCGUUUUUUAACCGUCGAAAAGUUUUGUUCCCGUUACUUGCUCUCUGAAUGUUUGUUUUUUGCAAUUUUUUGCGUAUGCGAUCUCGAAGUAUAUACAAACAUGUUUGACGGUUGGAUCGUUGAAAUUAGUUUCGUAUAAUUCGUAUCCCAUCAAGUUCAAUGGUGUGUAUAUAAUAUAUAUUAUUUUAUUAAGUAGAUUUAAAUCUCUUUAUUUUGUACGUAUAAUUGACUGGUACACGAAGUAGUAUAUUACGUGUCAUUAUAAAAAUAGUGGGAUAUGUCAUAUAUGUGAUAAAAAGUUAAUAACUUAAAAAAAAAAAAAUUUCUCACAACUUUUAUUAAUUUUCAUUUUCCCUCUCUUUUUUGUUUCAUUUUCUUUUUUCCGUGUCGUGUCGUGUCGUGUUAUUGGGUCGUGUCAGGAAUUGUCAGGCAUAUCUUCCAUAGUUCAUAUAUUCCCAUAAUACUAUAUAUGUAUCUCAUUUUAUGCUUGGCCUAAUAAAUAAAAGAUACCGUUAUUUUAGAGGAACUUUGGCUUGGUAUUUGCUUAAACUACAAGAAAUAUUAAUUUGUAAACACAUAUUAAGUCCCAACCAAAACCAUUUUGCCACCAACUCUUCCACUAACGCCAGCUCCUGUGUGCACCUCAAAAUCCUUAGCCUCCAUCACAUGUUCAGUUGAUCCAAACGUCUUUAGCAGCCUCUUACAAUUCAAACAAAUCACAAUUCUUCUCAGGCAUUAUCUCGAACACUUUAGCUGCAUCCUCAACCGACCCGCAUUUCCCAUACAUUGCAAUCAACGCAUUGCCUACAAACACAUCCGAAAUCAGUCCCAUCUAUUGAUCAAAUCCACAAACACAUCAAUGGCAUCAACAAAAAGCUCGUUUCUUGCAUACCCACUAACAAGCGCAUUCCACUGGAACAAGUUCUUCCUCUUCAGCCCGUCGAAAACUGAGCGGGAAUCCAAAGGAGAACCGCACAUUGCACAUGGUAAUGAUGCGUGUGUUGAGAACAAAAUCACAGUUGAAAACGGUCAACGCAGAGACCAAGUUGUGGACUUUGCGUCCGGUUUCGACGUACUUCUGGCGCCCGCAGGCCUGUAAAGAGGCUCCCAUGGCGUCCUUCCCUUGCUAUGAGCUGGAAACUGCAUCGUGAGAGUGUAAUUGAAAAAGGUCAGAGCCUCCGAGAGGUUUUCAUCCUAACUACUCUACAAACACUAACAUUUUUAAUGCAACUAAGCAAAUGAAGCUUUUAAUGUACAAAUUUGAAAUAUAAGCACCAACCUCUGUGGCAAUAGAUACAGCACAGAACUCCUCAAUUGAGUAAUUGGAAACGAGCACUGCAUUAACUACCGUUUCCCAACUGUCAGAGUUCCUGUUAUAUCAAAGACAACCGUGUUCACCUGCAGGGAUCAAACACAUGUCAGUAAACGUCCAGACAUCAAUAAAAGUGUGAAAUGCUAAAAAAUUUAUCAACCUUCAUGACUUAGGUACCUUCAUGCCCUUUUGUUCAACUUUUAAUUUUAGAAAGGAAAAAAAAAAACAAAAAGAACGAAACAAUUAUUAGCCUUGUUUAUUAAAAUUAAUAUAAUUCAGGAUCCAAUCAAUCAAGUUACUAAACUACAUGUAAAUCAACACAAAUGGCAUAUUUGAUAAACACUAAGAUUUACUGCAAUAGAUAACCGCUUGAGCGGCAGAGACUAUCGCUUGAGCGGCAGAACUCAGUCAUACUACAGCUUGAGCGGCAGAGACCACCGCUUGAGCGGCAGAACUACAGCUUGAGCGGCAGAGACCACCGCUUGAGCGGCAGAACCCAAUUAUACCAAAAUCAAUGCAUGGACUGAUAUACAUGAAUAAGCAUGCAAACCUGAACUUGAAGCCAUGAUCUGUUUUAGGAUGUAUCUUCCCUUCUCUUGUACGACUACAAUGGAUGUAUUAGGUUUCAAAUGGGGCAACCUUGCUUAACUGUGAAUCAUCCAUAUUUAUACCGAGAAGAGGGACCAAUCCCAUUCUAUAUCUGAUAACUGCCUUAUCCCAUUAAUAAUGCAGUUAUCUUCAGUUAUUAUUAAGCCAACUGUUCUUCAUUAAUUCAAACAUGGCUUAAUCACAUUUUUCCCUCCAGUAUGUUUUACUUCAUUCGAAUAUAAAACCUUAAGAAGUCUAACCAUAUAUACAGCUCAUUUACCAAGUUCAGCUGCAAUCGGCAGUUUGAUGAACUCACAUAUAUGAAUUCAAGAAUGAUGAAAUCACAUGAAUUCUUACAUUGUUAUCAGAAAAGGAGUUGGGGAGAACUCUCCCUCAAUGAGAGCUGUUAUCUACAAGAAACUGGGAUCUAAAACUUGGCGAGUAUGGCUUGACAUGGACAAGGCCACCAAUCGUCAGAACCAAAGAGUCAUAUGAGACAGAUUCCAACUAUGAAAUGAUUGUUGCAUGUUCAAUCCCAAUACACUUGCACCCUCAGACAUAUGGAUAGUAUCUAAUCAGUAAUUGUCUUUUCCUAAUACCAAAACAAACAGGUUUUCGACGUCAUCGGAAGGAAAAGUAAGUAGGAACAAGUAUAAUGAAGGUACACCAGCAAAAAAAACAUGAAAAUAAAAUGCAUGAAAAGUUGAAAACCCAGAUUCUAAAUUGAAAAGCAAUUUGUUUCAACCAUUACUGCCGUAGGGAUUGCUAGUCCCAUGGCAAAAGGGCAAGCAACCACUAAUACUGAGAUACCGAAUUGUAAUGCCAGCUCAAAUUUAUCCAUGCCUUUUGGUAUCUAGUUUUCCGGAAAAAAGACCAAAUUCUCCAGGGAUGAACCAUCCAAGCCAUGUCAAAAAUGCAACAAUGACAACCUGAUGUAGGAAAGAAAAAAAAAUCAAUCAUGCAAUUGAAAAAUUGUCAUAAUAACGCAAUUAUCAAAUGCAACUAAGAGUAAAACAAAUAUAAAGAUAACAUAAAACAUACAACUUACAUGAUAUCUUUAUCUUUAUAGAAUGGAGACGAUGAGAUAAUUUGUUGGGAAUAUUAGUGUGGUAGAUGAGAAGCGGUGUUAAACCCUCAGCCUCCUGCUUUUUCCUUCACAAGUUUAUAUUAAUCCUCAUCCGAACUACAAUAAUAACUCUCACUAUCAUCACUACUACCAUUUCCGGAUUCCCAUUCGUCCUCAUCUUCGUUUGCCUUUUCCGCUGCAUUGUAUUGAGGUAGAUCACCAAGGUCAAUUGAUAUUUCGAAUUCGGGAACUCCAGGUACGUCAAACGGUUCUUGGACAAUAUUAGUAUCCCGAAGUGUUUCUUCACCAAUUUCUAUCGAAGAUGAUAACUGUUGGUCAGCGACAUUGUCGUCGUUCNCAUUUGUAGCGUCUAGCACAUUACUUUACAUAAAGUGCAUGGAGGAACUCUUAGAUAACAACAGCUUCAAGAAUUUAUAGUUUACAAGCAUUUUGUCAAGGUUAAUCAAUAUUUUAUGUCCCAAUUUUUUGGAUUAUUGAAUACAUUUGAUUUGAUAUUAUGUUAUGUGAGUCCACCUUCGCAUCCUAAAUCGACAAAAUUGCAAAAGCUUCACCGAAAACACCUUCAUGUUCAUACACAAAAUACACAUACAAAUCAACAAAAUUGCAAAAACUUCACACAAUCAACUUGAAUCACAUCACAAAAAAAAUCAAUUUGACAAAACCCAACAUGCAAUUUGAACCUAAACCCUAAAUAACAAAAACCCAUAAAAAAUCAGAAACCCUCACCUUGAAUUUGGGACUUGAUUCGCGUCAGUUUCCAGAUUCGCGUCACUGCCCGUCGUUUAGAACGAGAGGGAGAGAGACAACUGACAGAGUAGUGGUGGUGAUGGUUGGAUUCGUGAUUGUGAAGAGGAAAGCUUGUGAAUGAGAGGGAGAGAGAUAUGUACGGGAAAAAGAGGAGAGAUGAGCAAGAGGGUUAUACAGGAAAGAGGGAAAGAAAGGUGAGGAAGAGGUGGGAAAAGAAAGAGAGGUGAGCAAGGGAACCAUACGGAAAGAGGGAAAGAGAGGAUAGAUGAGCAAGAGGUUAUAUGGGAAAGAGGGAAAGGCCGAAAGAGUGCAAGAGGGAAGAGAGG